This 69-nucleotide transfer RNA is filed under the name Marmota monax (woodchuck). Its description in RNAcentral is "tRNA.Thr". The record is from RNAcentral. Lineage: Eukaryota; Metazoa; Chordata; Mammalia; Rodentia; Sciuridae.
GCCUGUGGCUCAGUGGUAAUGCACAUGCCUGGUAUGUGUGAGGCACUGGGUUCGAUUCUCAGCACUGCG